This 1013-nucleotide ribosomal RNA is filed under the name Dialister pneumosintes. RNAcentral's name for it is "bacterial SSU rRNA". It matches the Rfam family "Bacterial small subunit ribosomal RNA", at positions 28 to 1003 of the family's 1533-position model. Lineage: Bacteria; Bacillati; Bacillota; Negativicutes; Veillonellales; Veillonellaceae. The record is from RNAcentral.
GACGAACGCUGGCGGCGUGCUUAACACAUGCAAGUCGAACGGAAAGAGAUGAAAGAGCUUGCUCUUUUAUUAAUUUCAGUGGCAAACGGGUGAGUAACACGUAAACAACCUGCCUUAAGGAUGGGGAUAACAGACGGAAACGACUGCUAAUACCGAAUACGUUCUAAGCAUCGCAUGGUGCAUAGAAGAAAGGGUGGCCUCUACAAGAAAGCUAUCGCCUUAAGAGGGGUUUGCGACUGAUUAGGUAGUUGGUGAGGUAACGGCUCACCAAGCCGACGAUCAGUAGCCGGUCUGAGAGGAUGAACGGCCACACUGGAACUGAGACACGGUCCAGACUCCUACGGGAGGCAGCAGUGGGGAAUCUUCCGCAAUGGACGAAAGUCUGACGGAGCAACGCCGCGUGAACGAAGAAGGUCUCCGGAUUGUAAAGUUCUGUGAUUCGGGACGAAAGGGUUUGUGGUGAAUAAUCAUAGACAUUGACGGUACCGAAAAAGCAAGCCACGGCUAACUACGUGCCAGCAGCCGCGGUAAUACGUAGGUGGCAAGCGUUGUCCGGAAUUAUUGGGCGUAAAGCGCGCGCAGGCGGUUUCUUAAGUCCAUCUUAAAAGCGUGGGGCUCGACCCCAUGAGGGGAUGGAAACUGGGAAGCUGGAGUAUCGGAGAGGAAAGUGGAAUUCCUAGUGUAGCGGUGAAAUGCGUAGAGAUUAGGAAGAACACCGGUGGCGAAGGCGACUUUCUAGACGAAAACUGACGCUGAGGCGCGAAAGCGUGGGGAGCAAACAGGAUUAGAUACCCUGGUAGUCCACGCCGUAAACGAUGGAUACUAGGUGUAGGAGGUAUCGACCCCUCCUGUGCCGGAGUUAACGCAAUAAGUAUCCCGCCUGGGAAGUACGAUCGCAAGAUUAAAAUUCAAAGGAAUAGACGGGGGCCCGCACAAGCGGUGGAGUAUGUGGUAUAGUUCGACGCAACGCGAAAGAACCUUACCAAAGCCUUGACAUUGAUCGCAAUCCAUAG